GAUCAUGGCUCGGGAUGAACGCUAGCUAUAGGCUUAACACAUGCAAGUCGAGGGGAAACGGCAUUAUGUGCUUGCACAUUUUGGACGUCGACCGGCGCACGGGUGAGUAUCGCGUAUCCAACCUGCCCUUUACUUGGGGAUACCCCGUUGAAAGACGGCCUAAUACCCGAUGUAAUUCAUUGAUGGCAUCAGAUAUGAAUAAAAGAUUUAUCGGUAAAGGAUGGGGAUGCGUCUGAUUAGCUUG
This 244-nucleotide ribosomal RNA is filed under the name uncultured bacterium. RNAcentral's name for it is "partial 16S ribosomal RNA". It matches the Rfam family "Bacterial small subunit ribosomal RNA", at positions 15 to 248 of the family's 1533-position model. The record is from RNAcentral.